GACGAACGCUGGCGGCGCGCUUAACACAUGCAAGUCGAACGGAAAGGCCCUGCUUUUGUGGGGUGCUCGAGUGGCGAACGGGUGAGUAACACGUGAGUAACCUGCCCUUGACUUUGGGAUAACUUCAGGAAACUGGGGCUAAUACCGGAUAGGAGCUCCUGCUGCAUGGUGGGGGUUGGAAAGUUUCGGCGGUUGGGGAUGGACUCGCGGCUUAUCAACUUGUUGGUGGGGUAGUGGCUUACCAAGGCUUUGACGGGUAGCCGGCCUGAGAGGGUGACCGGCCACAUUGGGACUGAGAUACGGCCCAGACCCCUACGGGAGGCAGCAGUGGGGAAUAUUGCACAAUGGGCGGAAGCCUGAUGCAGCAACGCCGCGUGCGGGAUGACGGCCUUCGGGUUGUAAACCGCUUUCGCCUGUGACGAAGCGUGAGUGACGGUAAUGGGUAAAGAAGCACCGGCUAACUACGUGCCAGCAGCCGCGGUGAUACGUAGGGUGCGAGCGUUGUCCGGAUUUAUUGGGCGUAAAGGGCUCGUAGGUGGUUGAUCGCGUCGGAAGUGUAAUCUUGGGGCUUAACCCUGAGCGUGCUUUCGAUACGGGUUGACUUGAGGAAGGUAGGGGAGAAUGGAAUUCCUGGUGGAGCGGUGGAAUGCGCAGAUAUCAGGAGGAACACCAGUGGCGAAGGCGGUUCUCUGGGCCUUUCCUGACGCUGAGGAGCGAAAGCGUGGGGAGCGAACAGGCUUAGAUACCCUGGUAGUCCACGCUGUAAACGGUGGGUACUAGGUGUGGGGUCCAUUCCACGGGUUCCGUGCCGUAGCUAACGCUUUAAGUACCCCGCCUGGGGAGUACGGCCGCAAGGCUAAAACUCAAAGGAAUUGACGGGGCCCCGCACAAGCGGCGGAGCAUGCGGAUUAAUUCGAUGCAACGCGUAGAACCUUACCUGGGUUUGACAUGGAUCGGGAGUGCUCAGAGAUGGGUGUGCCUCUUUUGGGGUCGGUUCACAGGUGGUGCAUGCCUGUCGUCAGCUCGUGUCAUGAGAUGUUGGGUUAAGUCCCGCAACGAGCGCAACCCUUGUUCACUGUUGCCAGCACGUUAUGGUGGGGACUCAGUGGAGACCGCCGGGGUCAACUCGGAGGAAGGUGGGGAUGACGUCAAGUCAUCAUGCCCCUUAUGUCCAGGGCUUCACGCAUGCUACAAUGGCUGGUACAGAGAGUGGCGAGCCUGUGAGGGUGAGCGAAUCUCGGAAAGCCGGUCUCAGUUCGGAUUGGGGUCUGCAACUCGACCUCAUGAAGUCGGAGUCGCUAGUAAUCGCAGAUCAGCAACGCUGCGGUGAAUACGUUCCCGGG
RNAcentral lists this ribosomal RNA (1343 nucleotides) under uncultured bacterium. Its description in RNAcentral is "16S ribosomal RNA". It matches the Rfam family "Bacterial small subunit ribosomal RNA", at positions 28 to 1378 of the family's 1533-position model. The record is from RNAcentral.